This 23-nucleotide microRNA is filed under the name Oryctolagus cuniculus (rabbit). RNAcentral's name for it is "ocu-miR-12091-3p". The record is from miRBase by way of RNAcentral. Lineage: Eukaryota; Metazoa; Chordata; Mammalia; Lagomorpha; Leporidae.
GAGUGAGACAAGUGACUGUUUGA